CCACAGGGCGUGCCGGGAGGGAAGAGCCGGGGUUACGCACCCGGGAGAGUCCGCAGAGCUCCGCUGCCUCCCAGGUAGCUUGGUUGAAAGUAACAGAAUCUCAGAUAUUUAAAUAAAAUACCUGGAGUCUAAAAGAAUUAGAAUCUUCUAGCUUGCCUGGCUUACUUCAGUGCUGCAAGCCAUGUAUACAACCAGCGUUAAUUUCAAGGGUAUUUCUACCACAAAGUGAGAAAAAUGAGUCGUGUGUUGUAGGCAGUGAAAGUGAGGUGAAGUCUCAGCUCAGAGGAUGAGUGCUCAUUCUGCACCUGCGCUAGAGCUCACCUGUGUUGCUCUGUGUCUCUGCCUCUGCCUGAGCACCCUGCUCACCAUUCUCCUCCCACUGCCCGCCCCGUUCCUUUGUCUCCUCGGAGCCACCAACAACGGGAUCUGCUGGAGUUUGGAAACCUGGGAUGGAUGGAGGGCGGGAGCUGCCGUACCUUUUCUGAAAAACAUUGAAUAGAAAAUCAUCUGGAUAUAGAAGAGAAAGGUUCUUCACCCACUUUCACAUGAAUACGUGUGCAAGGAGAGAAAAAUAGUGAGUGAGAAGGGUAUUUUCUGCUAAUGGGAUACAUUAACGUUGCCAUGGAAUUUGGGAUCAGCAUGCACAGGGUAUUGAUCUUAAACCUCCUUCUGAGCUACAAGGAUGAGGAGGACAUGCUAAUUUACUUACUUUUGACAUCAGCCCAGAACUACACAUGUAUAGGGAAAACCUAAGGAUAGGAUGGAUGGCAAAAAAGCCUCUUUGUCAGAAUCACAGAAUUAUUCACUUGGGAUGGAGUGUAGGAGGUUUCCUAGUGCAAACUGCUCAGAUCAGGGUCAACCCUGAAAUCACAUCAGUUUGUUGAGGAUGUGAUGCAGAGAAGUUUUGAAAACCUGCAAGGAUUAAGAUUCCCCAAUCUCUCUGGGCAACCUGUUUCAGUGCUUAAAUAUCCUAAAAAAAAAAAAAAGAGGAUAAAUAAUCUGUGGUCUCCUCCAGGACACUUGACAGGUAUUCCAUGGCUUAGGUCUAAGGGUAGAUGCCCAAGGAAUGCCAAGGUGAGCAGCUGCCAGGGGGAGUAGGACUCGUUAGCCCUUGGGCCUGGCAGGAGAUGUUCAUUCCUUUUGCAGUGUGCCCAUCCACACUGUAACAUUCCAGCUUGGAUACGAGGCUGCUGUGGAGACCAUGGGGAAAGAAAGCCCUGCUGAAGGCAAGGUAGGCAACACCUACGGCUCUGCCUUUGGCUGCACAUCUUCCAGGGCAUCACAGAAGGUCAGCCUGGGCAAACCUUGGAAAAGCCGUGCUGGAUACUACUUCUAAUCACCUUUCUUUCUUCAGGAAUGCCUCCUGCAGACUUGGCAGCAUUAUUGUCCCAAAGGACAAGCAGUAGUUCCCUGGAUCAUUCUUCCAUUUCUUAGUGUGAUGGGCUUUUGAAUAGAUUUAAGUGAAACCAGGCUUUCACUUCACAUUUAAAAGAUUUGACAUAGUCCACAGUGAUAUCCUCCUUAUAAACUGGGACGAAAAGUCUGUAAACAAUUAUUGAUCUCCACAUGCUACUGGGGAAAUUUUCCAAGAUCAGUGACAGCUGGGAAAUCACUGGCAUUUUAAAAUUAUAUAUCAGUGAUUCACUUUUUUUGGCAUUUACAGUAUUGCAUUAUGGCAAUGAACAUACUAGAUGUGUAUUUAAAAAGCCAGACUGCCUUUAGCAUUUUAGUAUUUUUUGUUUGAGCUGUAUUACAGAUGAAAAUUUAUUGAUACAAUUCAAAAUAAUGGGUUUGUUUUUUAAAGAUACAUACCCAUUAAGAAGAAGUUAAAAUGAGGAAAAUGCUUCUUUGUGUGAAAAUAAUUCUGCUUUUUCAACAACAGCAUCUCCUGAGUUUCUUCGAUUCAUACCUGAUUAAUGACUAAACUAGACUUUAACUCCUGUAAACACUGUAGAAUGCAGAGAGCUAUAGAAAAGUAAAAUGUAUUUUGCCCUCCUCAGUCAUUGUUUACACAGUCCUCAGUUACAUUUUAUUCUGGAAUUAUUUGCAAGAGAGAGGUUUGGUUUCAAGUCAUUGUCCCAUAUAAGAUUGCCAAAGCCUCUGGUCAGUCACUGAGCUGUCUUAAUUUGAGAGGAGGAGCUGGGUGCUCACCCACAAAAGGGCACAGCUACAUGAAAGGAAAAUAUUUAUUAGGUAAAACAAUACUAAAAUCACCUCUUUGCUGGAGAAUAAAAAAUGUGUGGUGAUCCCAAGCUUGUUCUGUGCUGCUGGGCAGGAGGGACUUCAUAAUAACCCAGUGAUUCCUCUGGCUGAUGAGGGAUCUGCUGUGACGCAUUCUGAAGGAUGCUGCAUAUGCCUUGGCUGGGAAAAUGAUGUUUUCUUUGUGCUGGUCGAGGCUAGAAAAGAAGGGGAAAUGGUGGGAGUGGUGACUCGGGUGAUCUUUAGAGGAAAAAAUAAUGCAAAUAAGGAUUGAAGAUGAGCUCUGCAUACUUCCAGGUUUGAAAAUAAUUAGUCACAGAGUUCGUUGUCCACUGCCUCAGGUUUCUGCACUGCAAAAAUACAUUUUAAGAUAGAUUUAAAAACUGGCUAAUGAGAUUAGCUGGCUGAUGUUUUAAUGUAAAAGGUAUGUCAUAGAAAAUGACAAUCUGAAUUGGGAGAGAAAAACAAACAUAACAAUAAGCUGAUAUGAGCUAAGAACUUUGAACACAGACUAUAUUGUUCAAGAUAUAACUGAUUUUAUUUUAAUUCCAUGACAGCAUCAUUUCACCCACUGUCUGUCUUGACAGGAGUCCAGUAAAGGUUUCUAUUUUGCCUUCUCAGCAUGUUUUAGGGAAUGAUUUGUGAUUAGGAGUACAGAUACUAUUUCAAAUGCCUCUUAAAAUAUGUGGUAUUGCAAACAACGGAUAUAAAAUGAGAUUCACACACAUAGCUUUGCUGGUGGCCAAGAACUGCGUUGCAAUAUGCCGGAAAUCCAAACAUCCUCCUACUCCCAGAGCCUUGCUGACAGAUCUACAACAACUUCUUUCUCUUGAAAAAGCUACUUACAGAAUCAGAAUAAGAAAGAGAGAAGCCUGCUAAUUCUGAGGAACUAAUGUAAUCCAUAAAAUGGGAGGUUAAAGAUUCCUCAUCAAUAUGAAGAUUGCAUUUCUUCUUGAAAAUUUUAUAGUUUCAAGUAACAUCUAGACUAUCUAAAAUUCUCACAAAAACCAAAGAGGGGAAUAUCAUGUCAUCUCCGAAAAAGGAACAACACCAAACCUUUAUGAUUGGUGUCAUUUUUGUCUUGUCUAGCCUUUUAGAGCUACAAAUCAUUGGGCUUCUGCCUUAGUACAGGGGUGUGUAUCAAUGGAACUUGGUACAGAAAUAGAACCUCAGCUCAGCAGAUCCUCCUUUCUUGAAAAACCAUUUAAAAAGGCAAACACAAGGGAAUACAAAAACAAGUAACUUUUCCAGGGAUGUGUAUUUUAAACAGCAUGUUUUGCAAGAAAGGCUGUUGUUAGAUGCUACAUAUUUUAAUUAGCUGUUUAGAAAAUCAGGUUGACAAUGUCCUUUAAUUAGUAGACAUUGACUUAUUCCACGUGUAUUAUGGCACAGUGAAUCUUAUUAAGAUAAAUGUUUCUCUCUGAAGAGAUGAAAAAAAAAUCCACUAUCAUUUGUUUGCUUACCAGAUUGCUCACCAUCAAUACGGCUGCUAUUUAAAAUGAUGAAUUUUAGUCACAUAUUUAAUUAGCUAAUAGCUGAUCUCACUGUUGGGUCUUGAUCCUCCUUACAUGUGUUCUUUCAUCCUUAAAAAGUCUUUGGUUAUAUCUUGGUUUUGAAGUUUUCGUUUGAAAUUGUCCUUGCUACUUUCAAACCUAAAAUGCAAUAAAUUAAAUUAUUAAAAGUAAAAAUUAUUGUGAAAACAUUUAAGGUUUGGAAUAUAGUUUUAUACCUUCUGCUCAUUUUAAUAUAUUGCUAGAAGCUAUGAACUUUAAAAAAAAUUACAAGUUUUUAACGUUAGAUUUUCCAUUUGCUGCAGGUGUUUAGUUUGUGAGAAAAUUAUGUGCACUUUAAAAGGCUAUAAACUAACUUAAGAUGUCAGUGCAUUUGACUGUCACUGCUCAGCCUGCAGCCUUCUCACAGAAUUCACAUUGUUUGAGGGCAACAGUGGGAAAGUGCAGCAAAUGCACUGUAGCCUAUAUUAUGUCAUGAUAAUUGUUAAAAAGAAAGCCUUAAUGGUGUUUGCAUCAAGGACAUAAAGCUCCUGUGGGUGUCACUGGUUUGGACGAGGGCUCUUCAUGGCAGAUUCUCUACUUCAGUUGUUCAUUGUAUGUGACAAAUGGUGCUUCUUAAUCCCACAGAUUAUGUUAGUGCCUAGAAUGCCGUUCAAGGGCAAACAUCCCUCCCUCUUCACAGAGGAUGACACGGAUUGGGAGUCAUGCAAGGAGCAGGGAGUUGGCCUCGAUGAUCCUUAUGGUACCUUCCAGCUUGAGAUGUUCUGUGGUUCUGGAUGAUUGCCCUCUAAACCUCUCAUUUUCUUCCUAUUUGCAGCAUUAGGUUAUUCCAACAGUACAAGGAAGAUAAGCAAGAAAAACAUAAAAAAAUCAGAAUUUUCUUUGUUAUAGAGACUGUCUUUGAAGGGAUUGCCAUGGCAGGUAUUGUGCUGCCAAGCUGGAGAUGCUGUAGAAGGUCCAGACUUGCCUGUGAAUAACCUGGAGGCAGCCUGGGAGGGUGAGGUAAAGCCAGGCUGCACCCAUUGCAGAAGGUCUGAAGAAGUUCUGCAAUAUGGGUUUGCAAUAUGAAUUUGCAGCUACACGGACGUGUACCUGCCAUGGAAUUUGCAUGAAUUCAAACUUUAUAUGUAACUAUCGUGAAAACUUGUGAGUGAACUUUCUUUGAAAGGACAUUUUGAAAUAAUAUGUGGUCAAUGAUAUGAGUUCCUAGUGGAACAGUUAUGGGCCACACGGCUCAAAAUCAAGAGAAUUUGUUUGCUGAAACCAAAGGGCAUGAGGGUGCCUAGAGCUUGGUGGUGCUGGUCACACAAGACACCACCAGACAGGGUGGGAUAUCCAUCAGGCUUGUUUUGCCACUGCCACUUCCCUCACAAACACAGAACAGCAAUUAAGUGUCAGUAUCUAUCAAAAACUGGCUGUGUUACUUAAGGACAAAGUAUUCUCUGACCUCUGGAGCAUGUCAUUGCAAAAAGAAAGACAUAAUUGACUUUUUGGAUGUGCAAUUAUUUGUUCUCACAGUUGUCCCAUAACAGCAUGGAUUAUAAACCUCACAUCUUAGGCAGGCAAAACUCAGUUUCCUUAGCCCUGCUGUUUAAUUAGUGCUUGCAACUGGACAUUGUUUAUAUCCCAAUAAAUGUUGCCUGAGUGAAGACUUCCCCUUAACCAAUUAUACCAAAUGCUUUUCUGUGAAGGUUCUAAUUAAAUAGCAUAUAUUCUUAUGUUUUCUUUAGUCGUGCCUCUUGUGUGGAUCUCUGUCAGAGUGCCAUGCCACACUGGGACAUUUUACCCACAUUUCUGUCACUUUCAUGCUCACUGGCUGGCUGCAGCUGCUCCCUUUAAAAGCUCUUGCUUUCUGUAUGGGAGGAAGGUCCUGAUGGGCAAGGCUGGUACUUCAGAAUCUAAAUCAAUUUCUUGUGCUAUAGCAGAAUCCUUAAGUGAUUGCUAAGCCACACAUGACCCCAUCAGGAGGGUGUAACUUCAGGUGCCUGAUGGGGUCAUUGCUGUAGCGUCCAAUCCUGCAGAUUCCAGCACAGAAUUUUAAGCAAAGCUGGAAUUUAUUUGGAAGCCCUCCUCUACAGAAAUUGUCAAGGUGCAGAUACUGUGCCUGGCUUGUGAGCAGCUCUGCCCCUCAUCACAAUUGUGGCACAGUUUCAGGAAUGGUCAAGAUUAGCUGUCCUGGACAGUGCUGUACCCUCUCCUUAAUCAGACCCUCAGUAUUAAGCUUCCCUUCUCCUGUAUAAUGGAACAUUUUUUUUUCUGCAGGUAAGAUUUUAAGAGCUUUUCUAUUCUAGGCCCUUUUUCUAAGAGCUGAUUCCUAAGUUGCUACCACUUUUAUGUGUGCUCAAAAUAUGAAAAGGAAAUCAGCUUCCUUUCUCUGGUACAGCAGCCGCCCUCCUAAGUGAGUCAAUGAGUUCCCAAAUGUAGUAUUUCAAUGCCACGUGAAAAAGUAUGGAGUGAGAGAUGUAUUAGUGGGAACACUGUCUCAGUGCCAAUCCUUAUGGGUCAGAGGAUUACAAAAUAAUGUAGCCCAUCUGUGCUUCACCAAAUAUCUUCAUUUAGAAGAUAAACAUGGUAAUGUAACGACAUUUUUUACUGUGUGCUUCCUUCAUCCAAACUUCAAGUGAUUCUAAUUUCAUACUAAUGCCUUAAUUUUUAAAUUGUCCUUGAUUUCAAGAUGGAUUAGUUAGUAAUUACAUUAAAUUAUUUCUGCAGAUUCUGAUCAGAUACAUAUAUACCCAUUCAUUUCCUUAAGAUCUUAAUUUGAAGAGUUUUUUAUCAUCCACAGGGUCAGGUUGCAGUGAGGGGCAGAAAGUUUACAGGCUGGAAGGGUCACUGAAGCUUUAGAAUGCAGAAAAUAUUAUGGAUACAAACCUUUAAAAGUUCAUGUGAUUUUUUUCUACAGACUCUAGGUUCAAGGUAGGGGACAGAUAAUUGGGUGUGAUUAUGUCUUUACUGGAUAUUCACUUCUCAGCACUGCUAUUAUAACAAGGGAAACAAUUUUGGUAAUCAUGGUGUUCAGGAAUAUCUAGAAUUUUGUAUUACUUGGACGAAAUUGGGAGAUUAAAGAAAAGGUGCUGUGUGUUUCAUGUCUCCAAAAUAGUGAUUUUAAAAUGUUACUGUGAAUGUGGCCUUGGGGUGCUGAUUCUCUAGCACCAUGAAAGCCAGGUCUCUGCCUAUCUCACCAGUCAGGCUGCAGUUUGGAUCAGGAGCACAAGUCCCUGAUCAUCUUGUGGACCAUCAUCAGAAAUUACAUCUUCCUUAGGGGUAUAAUGAUCUUUUUCUCUUGAGUUCUCUUUAUUUUGCCAUAUCAGGUAGUAUUUAGGACUAGAUUCACUGAACAACUCUUGUUUUUGUAUUCUUGAGGGAAUGUUGGCCUCGGUCAGUCCCAUAUUUUGCUUUGCUCUGUACCCUGGAUUCCACAGAGAAUGGGUCUAACGUGUUCUUAUCCCUUUCCUAAGCUGAUGGAGUGCUGCUAUGGGCUUGAGUUUUCCUACUGUAGUACUGUUAAAGGCAAAUGUUGAUAAUAUUUUUCACUGCAAGGACUUGUUUUGGUGGCACUGAAGGGCUUGUGGAGUAACUGGGAGUGCAGCAAUGUUCCAGUGAAGGUGGAAGGUGAACUAGGACCUCAAGGGCUGAAAGUCUUGAGCCCUCACAACAACUUAGCAACCAAAGGCAAUCAGCCUGCAGCCCCUCAGUUCAUUCCUUGGAUUCCUAAAAGGAAUAAACCCAUCAUUGUUCAUCUGUGUGGCUGACAUUGGCACAGAUUUCUUCCACUCCUAUCUGAGUACUUGUAAGACUUGUAUAUGAUAGGAGCAAAAGAGAGUUCCUUGCCACUUAGUGUGAGAAAAAAAUGCUAGGGAAGACAAGUGCAUACUAGGGUGAGCCAACUGUUUACCAUGAUCUGCUAACAAAUGUGAAAACUAAAAAUGGCCUUUCUGCACUGGGAUUUUAUCGUGUAUUAGUUGCCAUGUGUUAGUGAACAUAAGCUUAUUGCAGACUCAAGUAAAUUCCUGCCAUUUCAGUUUACCUCCUCUCUCCCAGCUGCUACAUGUAGUGAUUGUCUCAGAGAUUUGCUGCUCCUUUUUCUGUGCCACUGGAAGCUUGAGAAACCAUGAAUUUAUUUUGUGGCAGGCACUGACCUUCCUUCCUUUCCUAGUCAAACGCAGGGCAGAAGUGCACGCUGGCAGCCAAGCCCUUGUCAGCCCUGCCUGGCUUAGAGGGGCACUGAAAGAGCAAGGACGUGCACCUGAGAGAGCUCUACACCUUGGUGAUCCCUGGCUUUUACAAGCCCAGAAGGGCUUGCGGAAGAGUGGAAAAGCAAGGUAGCUUUCCAUGUCCUGGAGGCACAAGUUGUUCACCUUCCCUACAGCACAGCUGUCCUUUGCAGCCUGGGUUCCUUUGGGCCAACAGUGUCUCUGUGUAAUUACACAAUAUUGAUGCACAUCUGUGAGAACAAACCGUUAGGAACAAACAGUUCAAAAUAUCUAUAAAACAUAGAAUUAAAAAAAAAUAUUUUCAGGUGUGAAAUGAGAUGAUGCUUCGCCUGCAUGGGCACAAAUUGAUCCAAGUUUUGUGAUGAUAGUGUCACUGGUUUCAUAUCAGUUAUCUCAGCAUAACUUUUUGAUUAUUUCUGAAAUCAUGCACAGAAUGAGGGGAGAUUCAGUUUGACCUUUCCAGACUUGCUGCAUUUUAAUUCUUCCUAUGGGUAGAAAUAAUAUAGAAAAAAACCCAGCAGGUAAUAUUAUUUUUGUAUAAAGCUCUCUAAUUAUACUAUGCAUGUUCAGAAUACAUUAAAGAUACUGUCCCGACACCAAAAAAAUUUACAGUGUGCUUUUAGAUAUUACAUAACUAAUGAGAGCAAUAAAUGCUGGGAGAACGAAUGGAUCAAGGUUACAAUAAUAAGAUUAUAGGAUUCCUCCACUAUGUGUGCAUAGUUUAAAAUUCACUUCAAUUUUGCUGCCUCAGUCUGGGCUUUGGUUUGCAUUUUGGCUUUUUCUUUCUUUAUGAGAUUUAAUUUUAUCUCUGAAUCCACCAGACCAUAACAACCUGGCAAAAAACUCUGACCAGACUUUUGAUUUUCUUUCUUUUUUUCCUUCUUUUUAAAAUUGGGUUGUGCCUGCUCUGCUUGCACAGCCACCAUCGAUGUCCUGUUUGCAUCAGAACCACGGCCUUUUCUCUGACAGCAGUCACACCUGAAUGCUUGCACUACUUUAUUCUACAUGGGGAAAGAGAUACAAAAAAAGAGUAAUUAUGUGAUUUCUACACAUUUGUACUUGGAUUCUUAAAUCCCCACCUUGAAGACCCACAACAUGCACCAUGCAUGUGGCAUGUGAAGCAGACACAAAGCUCAUGCUAAUGCUCCAUCUUCUCCUUCUCAUCCAGCCUUAACAGUCACUUACAAAUGAUUUGUGAAAAAUCAAUAAUGCACCUUACUGGCUUUUUUUGUAAUGUAUAAGAAAGGGCAUUUUUUUGCCAAUUUUUUAAACACUGAAAAUAUCAGGAUUGUAAAAUUGGAUUUUUACUGAUUUUCUUUGGGGUUUCAAGAGACAUGUAUUGACAGCAGCCACCUCUAGCUGAAUCAGAAGUAUUGAAUGUAUAACACAAAUCAUUCGAUCUUCAACAUAUUUGAAUUAUCCUCAUGUUAAAAAAGAAGUGAUUGGGAAUCUUUUUUCCUUUCAAGUCUUUGCUCUUAUGU
Passer domesticus (house sparrow) is the source of this 9405-nucleotide long non-coding RNA. RefSeq lists it as uncharacterized. The record is from RefSeq and is a predicted model, not a curated record. NCBI's taxonomy places the organism in Eukaryota, Metazoa, Chordata, Aves, Passeriformes, Passeridae. The transcript is spliced from 5 exons.